GAUGAAGAACGUUAGCGAAAUGCGAUAAGUAGUGUGAAUUGCAGAAUUCAGUGAAUCAUCGAAUCUUUGAACGCACAUUGCGCCCCUUGGUAUCCCGAGGGGCAUGCCUGUUCGAGCGUCAUUUCACCACUCAAGCCUGGCUUGGUGUUGGGCGACGUCCUCUUUGGGGACGCGCCUCGAAACGCUCGGCGGCGUGGCACCGGCUUUAAGCGUAGCAGAAUCUUUCGCUUUGGAAGUCGGGGCCCCGUCUGCAGGAAGACCUGCUCGCAAGGUUGACCUCGGAUCAGGCAGGGAUACCCGCUGAACUUAAGCAUAUCAAUAAGCGGAGGA
Molecule: unclassified non-coding RNA, 330 nt
Filed under: soil metagenome
Description: partial contains 5.8S ribosomal RNA, internal transcribed spacer 2, and large subunit ribosomal RNA
Rfam family: 5.8S ribosomal RNA (bases 1-121)
Source: RNAcentral